RNAcentral lists this ribosomal RNA (587 nucleotides) under uncultured bacterium. RNAcentral describes it as "bacterial SSU rRNA". It matches the Rfam family "Bacterial small subunit ribosomal RNA", at positions 911 to 1502 of the family's 1533-position model. The record is from RNAcentral.
UGAUGGGGGGGGCNCAAGCGGUCGAGCAUGUGGUUCAAUUUGAUGCAGUUCGAAGAACCUUACCUNCUCUUGACAUCCACAGAAGCCAGCGGAGAGGCAGGUGUGAUUCGAGAACUGUAAGACAGGUGCUGCAUGGCUGUCNUCAGCUCGUGUUGUGAAAUGUUAGGAUAAGUCCCUCGACGAGCGCCAACCUUAUCCUUCUUUGCCAGCGCUUCCGGCGCGACCUCCACGGAGAAUGCCGGUGAUCAGGCGGAGUCCGUUGGGGAUUCAGUCUAGUCAUCAGUUGCCAAGGGAGAAGGGCUACGCCCUUUUUACUAUUGCGCAAACAGAGGAAAGGCGGAUGUCGAAAAAGACGGAUUACCAAGAAGUGCGUAGUAUUUUCCCAGGCAGUCUGCAGCUAGACUCCAUGCAGUGGGAAGUAAUAGUACUCGUGGAUCAGAAAACCACGGUGAAUAGAUUCCCGGCCAUCUACACCCCGCCCGUCACUACAUGGGAAAUGGCCCAAAAGAAGUGGGUAGUUUAACCUUCNGGAGGAGGAUCNCCUCUUUGUGGCUUGUUACGGCUUCGCCUUCGNCAGGANNAAACCG